RNAcentral lists this ribosomal RNA (305 nucleotides) under uncultured bacterium. RNAcentral describes it as "bacterial SSU rRNA". It matches the Rfam family "Bacterial small subunit ribosomal RNA", at positions 338 to 635 of the family's 1533-position model. The record is from RNAcentral.
CCUACGGGGGGCAGCAGUUAGGAAUAUUCGUCAAUGGGGGAAACCCUGAACGAGCAAUGCCGCGUGAAGGAUGACGGUCCUAUGGAUUGUAAACUUCUGUUGUUAGGGAAGAACGACCUAAGUAGGAAAUGACUUAGGAGUGACGGUACCUUUCAAGAAAGCUCCGGCUAACUACGUGCCAGCAGCCGCGGUAAUACGUAGGGAGCGAGCGUUAUCCGGAUUUAUUGGGUGUAAAGGGUGCGUAGGCGGCUUCUUAAGUCUGUAGUCUAAGCCCGGAGCUUAACUCCGGUUCGCUACAGAAACUG